GUGGUGCGGUCGGCGUUGGCGGCCCGAAGAGGAAGAGAUGACUGUUGGAAAGCGUUCCCCUCCCCCAUACGGCAGAACAGCUGCGGCUCCCAGGGGAAAGCCCCCGCAGGACACUCCUCGUGGGGUGUGACGGCUGUUGGUGGAGAAGGAGAAGAAGAGACUGGCUUUUAGAGCCCUCAAUGUAGCAAAAAGAGCCUGAAUCAGUAGGAGUGAUAAAGAAGGUAUAUAAGAUACUACAGAAACAUCCGUACCGGUUGCCUGGGCUGAAUUGUGAACUUGGGUUUGGUUUCUUUCUGCAAUCCCUACAGGGCCAUAAAUUCUUGGCCCUUCAGACUGUUUCUCGUUGGCCCGUAACAGACUCAGUGAUACCAUCAGUAACCACAAUUCACAGUGGAGUCAAAUUAUCUUAUUCCCACACCAGUUGGAGAACUGGAGAUUCCUUAGAACUUUAACUGUCAUGUUUCCAAAGUUGACAUGGAAAAUUUUACAUGAAGCUUAAAAAUACAACUAAUCUGUGGUGAUAGAGAUGAGAAGAGUUAAGCUCUAAAAUUAGAAGAGCAGUUCGUUUUGAGGCAGCAUUGAUUGGGAGGGAGCAUGGAGUAUAUAA
Molecule: long non-coding RNA, 607 nt
Organism: Macaca fascicularis (crab-eating macaque)
Lineage: Eukaryota; Metazoa; Chordata; Mammalia; Primates; Cercopithecidae
Source: Ensembl